Molecule: non-coding RNA, 82 nt
Organism: Acanthosepion pharaonis
Lineage: Eukaryota; Metazoa; Mollusca; Cephalopoda; Sepiida; Sepiidae
Source: the annotation of a GenBank genome assembly
GGUCCCAUAUGAUCACCGAAGAUAAGCAACAUCGAGCAUGUUCAGUACCUAGAUGGGUGACCACUUGGGAAUACCAGAUGCU